GCGCCCUGACGUCAUGCGGCCAUUUGGUUACAUCAUCACGGGCUGCCUACGUCAUUGUGGCAAAGUCGUUUCUCUUCGCCAAUCUACAAGCACUAAUUUUAGUUGGUAUUUCAAGGGAAGAUGGGCGAUUCCGAACAAUCCUCUGUCCCCAGCAAUGAAGGCAGCGAUGCUGAGGCCAGUGAGGACGACCAACAGCCCACCGCCGCGUAUGGUUGGGGCAGGGAGCCCAGAUACUCUGCUGAGGAGCUGCCAUCGCGUGUAACAAAUGUUGAGGAAGAAGAUGCUUCAGCAGCUGCGUCCGACAGAAGACGAGUAGCUUGGCCACCAGAAUCUCGAUUCGUUUGGGACUCCGACUGGUGCGAGCGUGGACAAAAGUGUAUAGCCAUGCCCAGCCCGCGGGAAUGAUUUUGCUGGAAGGAUGCUGCCGUCGCUGUCGACAAGACGGCCCAAGGUUUCUUGCGUAGCGGACCUCGCAGAUUACGAGAUCGUAUCCUUGCAUUAGGCUGUGCCCAUCACUGCUCUUCGAGGUUAUCUCGACAUGCAGAAGCCGCCAAUGCCAGUGACAGAAGAGUCUGACAUUAGAUCUCUACGCUAUGCGGCACACAGGCAGUACACACAAUGUACACGGCAAAUUGGGCAAGCACGUUCGUUGUCGUCUUCCAGCCUGCGUUGUGAAUACCAUCAGGCAAAGAUAUCCAAAUCCUGCACCACCUCAGCCUUCUCAGGAGGCUUCUACCUGGAAUUUGGCAGGGAAACACGCUUCUCCAAGGCAGGAACAUUGAGGUUGCCAUUUGCAACCGCUACCACCUCACACAUGAGCUUGUCAACAUACUCAUAGCUCUUUCUGUCGUAUAAUUUUCUAUUUGGCCACAGUCUUCUUUAUGCUUUGAGAACUGGACUUUAUACCUUCCUAUCGCGGUCUUUUUGGUUGUGCUGUGGCGACGGUUGACAUUGACGUCGUCAAGAGCUGCGAGAUGUGCGUGUCCAAUCAUCCCCAGAAUUGAGAAACGAAUGCGUUUGAGAAUGUAGUUUGGCAGGACACUGUGAUAUACCUGCAUGGCAAAAAGAAUGUGGAGAAAACACACUUGCUUAGACAAUAUACUGCUGUAUGAGAAAAUGGAAACUUCACCGUACAGGACGACUCUUGUUCUCAAUUGCAUUGUUCGUUUCAUUCCCUGUGUUGCCCAUAAGAGACGGGAGCAAAAAUGUUCAGCA
Long non-coding RNA from Sycon ciliatum, 1215 nucleotides. RefSeq lists it as uncharacterized. The transcript has 2 exons. NCBI's taxonomy places the organism in Eukaryota, Metazoa, Porifera, Calcarea, Leucosolenida, Sycettidae. The record is from RefSeq and is a predicted model, not a curated record.